GGAUGUGAGGGCGAUCUGGCUGGCUAGGCAGGUAUCCCCGUCCUCCCUCACCGCUCUAUGUGUCCCUCCUGAAGGUGCGCGCUCAUUUGAAGAUGAUGAUCUUCCCCAAAAUGGUCUUUGGUCGAGGAUAUACAAGCAGCUGCGCUCCCCUGCUAGAGCCUCCGAACAAGCUCUCAAGGUACUAUAUACUCCUAAAGGCACUGCUAGGUUAUCAACCAAAGCUUUCAUUACUCCCUUCACUACAGACAGUCACACUUCAAAGUUCUGCCCAAUC
Unclassified non-coding RNA from Erinaceus europaeus (western European hedgehog), 274 nucleotides. Its record names the gene 7SK. It matches the Rfam family "7SK RNA". Rfam says of the family: 7SK was discovered as an abundant small nuclear RNA in the mid-70s but a possible function has only recently been suggested. Two independent studies have found that 7SK RNA binds the CDK9/cyclin T complex (known as elongation factor P-TEFb). NCBI's taxonomy places the organism in Eukaryota, Metazoa, Chordata, Mammalia, Eulipotyphla, Erinaceidae. The record is from Ensembl.